This 622-nucleotide ribosomal RNA is filed under the name Mantoniella antarctica. RNAcentral describes it as "partial Bacterial large subunit ribosomal RNA". It matches the Rfam family "Bacterial large subunit ribosomal RNA", at positions 1224 to 1960 of the family's 2925-position model. The record is from RNAcentral. Lineage: Eukaryota; Viridiplantae; Chlorophyta; Mamiellophyceae; Mamiellales; Mamiellaceae.
AAAGGUAGCGAAGCGUUUUGUACUCCUAUGGCGCACUAUCGAAAGACGUUGUCUAGGAUUCAAAAGUGACUAUGCUGGCAUGAGUAACGAAAAUCACGGGCGCAAAACGUGAUCGCCGUAUGUUCAAGGGUUUCCUACGUUCUGUCAAACAGCGUGGAGUUAUCACCGGUCCCUAAGUCAUCGGAACCAUUUCCGGAACGAUGGAGGAAUGCAUGAUGGACGGCACAUUAAUUGAAAAUGCCUUAGCAUCUUCGAUUCGAGCGUGGCUUUUUGUUUUCAAAUGGAUAAAGCAAAGAAACGAAUGUGCCCAGGAAAAGCCAUGCAAGUAAAACCGUACCCUAAACCGACACAGGUGAACGAGUCGAGUAGACUCAGGCGAGAGACAACCACAUUGAAGGAACUCGGCAAACUAUUCCCGUACCUUAGGAACAAGGGAAACCGAUUUGGUGACACAAAAAUGGGGGUGACGACUUUUUACUAAAAAAUUAGGACUCUGCGAAAUGGCAACAUGCUGUAUAGGGUCUGACGUCUGCCCGGUGCUAGAAGUAUAAAAGGAGCGUUGAAAGAUGCAAAUGGAAAGCCUAGUAAACGGCGGUUGUAACUAUAACAAUCAUAAAGUAGC